Molecule: Y RNA, 102 nt
Filed under: Carlito syrichta (Philippine tarsier)
Lineage: Eukaryota; Metazoa; Chordata; Mammalia; Primates; Tarsiidae
Description: Y RNA (ENSTSYG00000027457.1)
Rfam family: Y RNA
About the family: Y RNAs are components of the Ro ribonucleoprotein particle (Ro RNP), in association with Ro60 and La proteins. The Y RNAs and Ro60 and La proteins are well conserved, but the function of the Ro RNP is not known.
Source: Rfam by way of RNAcentral
UGCUGGUCCCAGUGUAGUGGUGUUUGCAACUAAUUGAUCACAACCAGUUACAGAUUUCUUUGUUCCUUCUCCACUCCUACUGCUUCACUUAACUGGCAUUAA